RNAcentral lists this ribosomal RNA (394 nucleotides) under uncultured bacterium. RNAcentral's name for it is "bacterial SSU rRNA". It matches the Rfam family "Bacterial small subunit ribosomal RNA", at positions 29 to 416 of the family's 1533-position model. The record is from RNAcentral.
AAUCAACGCUGGCGGCGUGCCUAACACAUGCAAGUCGAGCGCGAAAGGGGGCAACCCCGAGUAGAGCGGCGAACGGGUGAGUAACGCGUGGGUGAUUUGCCUCCGAGUGGGGAACAACACCGGGAAACUGGUGCUAAUACCGCAUGACAUCCUCGGGUCGUACUGGGGAUCAAAGCUGGGGACCGCAAGGCCUAGCGCUUGGAGAGAAGCCCGCGUCCGAUUAGCUAGUUGGGGGGUAAUGGCCUACCAAGCGACGAUCGGUAGCCGGCCUGAGAGGGCGGACGGCCACACUGGGACUGAGACACGGCCCAGACUCCUACGGGAGGCAGCAGUGGGGAAUUUUUCGCAAUGGGGGAAACCCUGACGAAGCAACGCCGCGUGGAGGAUGAAGGCC